RNAcentral lists this ribosomal RNA (253 nucleotides) under uncultured bacterium. Its description in RNAcentral is "partial 16S ribosomal RNA". It matches the Rfam family "Bacterial small subunit ribosomal RNA", at positions 524 to 776 of the family's 1533-position model. The record is from RNAcentral.
UACAGAGGGUGCGAGCGUUGUCCGGAUUUAUUGGGCGUAAAGAGUUCGUAGGUGGUUCGUUAAGUCUGGUGUAAAAGACUGGGGCUCAACCCUGGGAUCGCACUGGAUACUGGCGGACUGGAGUGUGGUAGAGGCAAGCGGAAUUCCCAGUGUAGCGGUGAAAUGCGUAGAUAUUGGGAAGAACACCGGUGGCGCAAGCGGCUUGCUGGGCCAUAACUGACACUGAGGAACGAAAGCUAGGGGAGCGAAUGGG